GAUGAAGAACGUAGCGAAAUGCGAAAAGUAAUGUGAAUUGCAGAAUUCAGUGAAUCAUCGAAUCUUUGAACGCACAUUGCGCCCGCUGGUACUCCGGCGGGCACGCCUGUCCGAGCGUCAUUUCAACCCUCAAGCCCUCCUUCGGGAUGGGCCUGGUGUUGGGGCUCGGCCACCAUCUCCGGCGGCCGUCCCCUAAAUACAGUGGCGGUCACGUCGCGACUCCUUUGCGUAGUAGAAACACCUCGCUCCGGAUAGCAACGCGGUCCACGCCGUAAAACCCCCAAUUUUCAAUGGUUGACCUCGGAUCAGGUGGGAAUACCCGCUGAACUUAAGCAUAUCAAUAAGCGGAGGA
Molecule: unclassified non-coding RNA, 352 nt
Filed under: soil metagenome
Description: partial contains 5.8S ribosomal RNA, internal transcribed spacer 2, and large subunit ribosomal RNA
Rfam family: 5.8S ribosomal RNA (bases 1-120)
Source: RNAcentral